Long non-coding RNA from Globicephala melas (long-finned pilot whale), 151 nucleotides. RefSeq lists it as uncharacterized. NCBI's taxonomy places the organism in Eukaryota, Metazoa, Chordata, Mammalia, Artiodactyla, Delphinidae. The record is from RefSeq and is a predicted model, not a curated record.
GGGAUGACAGGACAUGAAAUCCCACGAGAAUUGGAGAAGCAAAAGUCAGCCAGAGGGCUCAGCGGUUCAGCAGCCAAAAGCACAGGUUAUCACAGAAUAUUGAGUAAAGUUCCCUGUGCUAUACGGUUAUUACAUAACACUGAGUAUGGUU